CCUACGGGAGGCAGCAGUGGGGAAUAUUGCGCAAUGGGCGAAAGCCUGACGCAGCGACGCCGCGUGAGGGAUGAAGGUUUUCGGAUCGUUAACCUCUGUCAGAAGGGAAGAAACUACAUUGUGCUAAUCAGCAGUGUACUGACGGUACCUUCAAAGGAAGCACCGGCUAACUCCGUGCCAGCAGCCGCGGUAAU
This 194-nucleotide ribosomal RNA is filed under the name uncultured bacterium. RNAcentral describes it as "partial 16S ribosomal RNA". It matches the Rfam family "Bacterial small subunit ribosomal RNA", at positions 338 to 524 of the family's 1533-position model. The record is from RNAcentral.